This 466-nucleotide ribosomal RNA is filed under the name Vreelandella stevensii. RNAcentral's name for it is "partial 16S ribosomal RNA". It matches the Rfam family "Bacterial small subunit ribosomal RNA", at positions 338 to 795 of the family's 1533-position model. Lineage: Bacteria; Pseudomonadati; Pseudomonadota; Gammaproteobacteria; Oceanospirillales; Halomonadaceae. The record is from RNAcentral.
CCUACGGGGAGGCUGCAGUGGGGAAUAUUGGACAAUGGGCGAAAGCCUGAUCCAGCCAUGCCGCGUGUGUGAAGAAGGCCUUCGGGUUGUAAAGCACUUUCAGUGGGGAAGAAAGCCUUGGGGCUAAUACCCUCGAGGAAGGACAUCACCCACAGAAGAAGCACCGGCUAACUCCGUGCCAGCAGCCGCGGUAAUACGGAGGGUGCGAGCGUUAAUCGGAAUUACUGGGCGUAAAGCGCGCGUAGGCGGUCUGAUAAGCCGGUUGUGAAAGCCCCGGGCUCAACCUGGGAACGGCAUCCGGAACUGUCAGGCUAGAGUGCAGGAGAGGAAGGUAGAAUUCCCGGUGUAGCGGUGAAAUGCGUAGAGAUCGGGAGGAAUACCAGUGGCGAAGGCGGCCUUCUGGACUGACACUGACACUGAGGUGCGAAAGCGUGGGUAGCAAACAGGAUUAGAUACCCCUGUAGUC